GCAAGUCGAGCGCGAAAGCACUUCGGUGUGAGUAGAGCGGCGGACGGGUGAGUAACGCGUAGGAAUCUACCUAGUAGUGGGGGACAACUCGGGGAAACUCGAGCUAAUACCGCAUACGCCCUAUGGGGGAAAGCGGGGGACCUUCGGGCCUCGCGCUAUCAGAUGAGCCUGCGUAGGAUUAGCUUGUUGGUGAGGUAAAGGCUCACCAAGGCGACGAUCCUUAGCUGGUCUGAGAGGAUGAUC
Molecule: ribosomal RNA, 243 nt
Filed under: uncultured bacterium
Lineage: Bacteria
Description: partial 16S ribosomal RNA
Rfam family: Bacterial small subunit ribosomal RNA
Source: RNAcentral